This 99-nucleotide transfer RNA is filed under the name Thermodesulfovibrio thiophilus. RNAcentral's name for it is "tRNA-Sec". It matches the Rfam family "Selenocysteine transfer RNA". Lineage: Bacteria; Pseudomonadati; Nitrospirota; Thermodesulfovibrionia; Thermodesulfovibrionales; Thermodesulfovibrionaceae. The record is from RNAcentral.
GGGAGUGUAAGGGGUUCUGGUGUCCCCCCUGGACUUCAAAUCCAGUGUUGCCUGUUCGAAAGCAGGCAUGGUGGGUUCGAUUCCCACACGCUCCCGCCA